Molecule: long non-coding RNA, 966 nt
Organism: Cercocebus atys (sooty mangabey)
Lineage: Eukaryota; Metazoa; Chordata; Mammalia; Primates; Cercopithecidae
Exons: 2
Source: RefSeq, a predicted model, not a curated record
ACUGUGCCACUGCACUCCAGCAUGGGCAACGGAGUGAGGCUCUGUCUCAAAAAACAAAAAACUUUUGCUUACCAGAAUGGCUGUGGCAAAGCUUAUAAGAGAAAUUUAAAUUUGGGGGAAAAUGGUCUGAUAUAACUCAAUCUUUAUUAAUGGGAAGGUAAUGGUGCUUUUGAAAAAAGUUGUUUGAAUAACCAUUCUUGUUCUUUUUUUUAAGUUUAUGAUGUACAAGGAGUCCUGGACUGGCAGUGGGAAGUGGGUAUGGCUGCCAUUACUUGACUGGCCACCAACUUCAGUGCUCAUCACCUUCCUUUGGACCACAGAAAGAACUGAUGCCUGAGCCUCCAGGUUCUCCAAUCCAGCCUAAAUAAUGCAGCCAAAAUCAUUUUUCAAAUCACUCAACGACCUCUGAUUCUAGAUUCCUUGGCAAGGCAUUAAAGCUGUAUCCUAAAUAGCUUCCAAUCUAGACAUCAAUCCCAUUGUUCCUCUUCUCAGCUUUAGCCAUAAGGGAUCAACUGAACAUGCCGUGGUCCUCCUCUUGAUGUGUAGUUGCCCUUUGGUUCUGUCAUUCCUUACACUGUAGUCCCUCAAAAUUCCUCUUUCUCUUACCCUUUCUUCCAAUCUCCUCCUCAUAAAGUCUAAGCCUCCUUUUAAGGCUUAUCUCCAAGGCCAUCUCUAAGACAAUUUUUGGUCCCUCCUCACACUCUUAAAGUCACUUCUCCCUCCUUUCGGCCAGUACUUAACUACAUUUGGCCUUGUAUAAUAGCUUAUUGUAUAUAGUUCUUAAUUCUCCUUUCAGAAUCUUGGCUCCUUAGAAUGAUCCCCUUCACUCCUUUAUAUGUGAGAGAGGAGAAAGUAUCCAAGACAGGGUUUUCACGACACAUAAUCUUUCCUUUUUAAUUUGGGACAAGGAGCAUACUAUAUUCUGCAAACUGGACUUUUCCAAAGAUUCCGCAUUUCAGGCACUAA